Molecule: ribosomal RNA, 494 nt
Filed under: Neogloboquadrina pachyderma
Lineage: Eukaryota; Foraminifera; Rotaliida; Globorotaliidae
Description: SSU rRNA
Rfam family: Eukaryotic small subunit ribosomal RNA
Source: RNAcentral
GCAUGUGGCUUAAUUUGACUCAACGCGGGAAAUCUUACCGGGUCCGGACACACUGAGGAUUGACAGGCAAUAUCUCAUGUUAACGGUAAGUUUACUUACCGCUUAACAUCGAGUGUUAAAUAUGCUAGUCCUUUCAUGAUUAUGUGAUAGGUGGUGCAUGGCCGUUCUUAGUUCGUGGAGUGAUCUGUCUGCUUAAUUGCGUUUCACUAAGGGCCCAUAAAUUCAAGGUAUGUUAGCUCUCGUCGCUCUAUGGACCCCUUAACUCCAAUAUUCUUAUUGUGUUAAGCGCGUGUCUUUAUUUUAAGAGUUUUAAGACACUGCGCAUGCUGUUGGGCUCUGAAAGCAACGAACGUGACCGCAACGUCUUGUUGCCUUAAACUAGCGUAUAUUGCAAUUUAUUGUAAUAUCGCUUACAGAGGCUAUUUAAAACUAGACGGACCGCUGUUUCUUUCUUAAACCAGAGGAAGGUUGCGGCAAUAACAGGUCUGUGAUGC